CUCAGGACGAACGCUGGCGGCGUGCCUAAUACAUGCAAGUCGAACGCUUCUUUCCUCCCGAGUGCUUGCACUCAAUUGGAAAGAGGAGUGGCGGACGGGUGAGUAACACGUGGGUAACCUACCCAUCAGAGGGGGAUAACACUUGGAAACAGGUGCUAAUACCGCAUAACAGUUUAUGCCGCAUGGCAUAAGAGUGAAAGGCGCUUUCGGGUGUCGCUGAUGGAUGGACCCGCGGUGCAUUAGCUAGUUGGUGAGGUAACGGCUCACCAAGGCCACGAUGCAUAGCCGACCUGAGAGGGUGAUCGGCCACACUGGGACUGAGACACGGCCCAGACUCCUACGGGAGGCAGCAGUAGGGAAUCUUCGGCAAUGGACGAAAGUCUGACCGAGCAACGCCGCGUGAGUGAAGAAGGUUUUCGGAUCGUAAAACUCUGUUGUUAGAGAAGAACAAGGACGUUAGUAACUGAACGUCCCCUGACGGUAUCUAACCAGAAAGCCACGGCUAACUACGUGCCAGCAGCCGCGGUAAUACGUAGGUGGCAAGCGUUGUCCGGAUUUAUUGGGCGUAAAGCGAGCGCAGGCGGUUUCUUAAGUCUGAUGUGAAAGCCCCCGGCUCAACCGGGGAGGGUCAUUGGAAACUGGGAGAC
This 647-nucleotide ribosomal RNA is filed under the name Enterococcus faecalis. RNAcentral describes it as "bacterial SSU rRNA". It matches the Rfam family "Bacterial small subunit ribosomal RNA", at positions 23 to 641 of the family's 1533-position model. Lineage: Bacteria; Bacillati; Bacillota; Bacilli; Lactobacillales; Enterococcaceae. The record is from RNAcentral.